Molecule: ribosomal RNA, 497 nt
Filed under: uncultured bacterium
Lineage: Bacteria
Description: partial 16S ribosomal RNA
Rfam family: Bacterial small subunit ribosomal RNA
Source: RNAcentral
GAUGAACGCUGGCGGCGUGCCUAAUACAUGCAAGUCGAGCGAACAGACGAGGAGCUUGCUCCUCUGACGUUAGCGGCGGACGGGUGAGUAACACGUGGAUAACCUACCUACAAGACUGGUAUAACUUCGGGAAAUCGGAGCUAAUACCGGAUAAUAUAUUGAACCGCAUGGUUCAAUAGUGAAAGACGGUUUUGCUGUCACUUAUAGAUGGCACCGCGCCGCAUUAGCUAGUUGGUUAGGUAACGGCCUACCAAGGCAACGAUGCGUAGCCGACCUGGGAGAUGGAUCGGCCAAACUAGAACUAAGACACGGUGCAGAGUGCUAGGAAUAAGAGCAGUAGGGAGUCGAACGCAAGAGAUGAGAGCCUGACGGAGCAGCGCCGCGUGACUGAUUAAGUUCAUCGGAUCGUAAAACUCUUUUAUUAGGGAAGCACAAAUGUGUUAGUAACUAUGCACGUCUUGACGGUACCGACUAAGAAAGCCACGGCUAACUACGUG